GUAAAGAUGGUGGAAAAGGAAAAGGAUGCCUUAGAAGGAGAGAAAAACAUAGCUAUCGAAUUUCUUACCUUGGAAAAUGAAAUAUUUAGAAAGAAGAAUCAUGUUUGUCAAUAUUAUAUUUAUGAGUUGCAGAAACGAAUUGCUGAAAUGGAAACUCAAAAGGAAAAAAUUCAUGAAGAUACCAAAGAAAUUAAUGAGAAGAGCAAUAUACUAUCAAAUGAAAUGAAAGCUAAGAAUAAAGAUGUAAAAGAUACAGAAAAGUAAUAAUAUUUUGGGAAGUACUAAAAGUAUUUAGAUAAUUGUAUUACAUGUGUAUUUAUAUAUAAAGUUACUUCUAGCACAUUAUGAGUGUAAGACAUUUGCCAGCAUAUCAAGUGGUGGCCCCCUUAGCGAAAAAAA
This 399-nucleotide small RNA is filed under the name Pan troglodytes (chimpanzee). Its description in RNAcentral is "retained intron". The record is from RNAcentral. Lineage: Eukaryota; Metazoa; Chordata; Mammalia; Primates; Hominidae.